GGCUCUGUGGUGUAGUGGUAGCAUACUUGCUUUGGGUAUUCGUUACUUGCAAGUGGUCCCAGGUUCGAGCCCUGGCUGAGCCC
Molecule: transfer RNA, 83 nt
Filed under: Immersiella caudata
Lineage: Eukaryota; Fungi; Ascomycota; Sordariomycetes; Sordariales; Lasiosphaeriaceae
Description: Cercophora caudata tRNA
Rfam family: tRNA
About the family: Transfer RNA (tRNA) molecules are approximately 80 nucleotides in length. Their secondary structure includes four short double-helical elements and three loops (D, anti-codon, and T loops).
Source: Rfam by way of RNAcentral